CAUUGCGGGCGUGCUUACAAUGCAAGUUGAACGGAGUAUGUUGGAAGGGUAACCGGAAGGCAUAUUUAGUGGCGAACGGGUGAGUAAUGCAUGAGAACGUAUCCUCAAGAGGGGGACAACAUUGGGAAACCGAUGCUAAUACCCCAUAAGCCGGGAGGUAAAAGGAGCAAUCCGCUUGAGGAGCGGUUCAUGUCCUAUCAGCUAGUUGGUGAGGUAACGGCUCACCAAGGCGAAGACGGGUAGCCGGCCUGAGAGGGUGAACGGCCACACUGGAACUGAGAGACGGUCCAGACUCCUACGGGAGGCAGCAGUGGGGAAUAUUGGGCAAUGGGGGAAACCCUGACCCAGCGACGCCGCGUGAGGGAAGAAGGCCUUAGGGUCGUAAACCUCCGUUGUGUGGGAAGAAGAGCGUGACGGUACCACACGAGGAAGUCCCGGCUAACUACGUGCCAGCAGCCGCGGUAAUACGUAGGGGACGAGCGUUGUCCGGAUUUACUGGGCGUAAAGGGCGCGUAGGCGGUCAUUUAAGUCAGCUGUGAAAUGGUGCGGCUUAACCGCAUCAUGCGGUUGAAACUGGAUGACUGGAGUGCUGGAGAGGCAAGUGGAAUUCCCAGUGUAGCGGUGAAAUGCGUAGAUAUUGGGAAGAACACCGGUGGCGAAGGCGACUUGCUGGCCAGCAACUGACGCUGAGGCGCGAAAGCCAGGGGAGCAAACGGGAUUAGAUACCCCGGUAGUCCUGGCCGUAAACGAUGAAUGCUAGGUGUGGGCAUCGAGAGGUGUCCGUGCCGGAGCUAACGCGAUAGCAUUCCGCCUGGGGGAG
Molecule: ribosomal RNA, 820 nt
Filed under: uncultured Synergistota bacterium
Lineage: Bacteria; Thermotogati; Synergistota
Description: bacterial SSU rRNA
Rfam family: Bacterial small subunit ribosomal RNA
Source: RNAcentral